This 369-nucleotide long non-coding RNA is filed under the name Nicotiana benthamiana. RNAcentral's name for it is "long non-coding RNA (NBEN_LNC015582)". The record is from RNAcentral. Lineage: Eukaryota; Viridiplantae; Streptophyta; Magnoliopsida; Solanales; Solanaceae.
GAAAGAACCAAACUGAAAUUUUAACUUUGAUCCACCGCCAGCAGCGACUGUGUUUACAUCGAGCUGAGGUGCUUGAAUUAUUGCACCAGCAAUCUGGGUUUCUAUAACUUGUUCAUAGGUACCAGCAUAUCGGCUGACAUCAGUAGAUGUACCACCCAUGUCAAAACCGAUUAGGGCUUUGUCUGUUUCAAUCCCAAAGAGUGUCUGAGAGUACCCAACUACACCGCCAGCAGGACCUGACAGGUACCACCCAUGUCAAAACCGAUUAGGGCCUUGUCUGUUUCAAUCCCAAAGAGUGUCUGAGAGUAACCAACUACACCACCAGCAGGACCUGACAAAAUUGCUUUGUGGCCUGAAAAUCUAUGUUCU